GAUGAACGCUGGCGGCGUGCCUAACACAUGCAAGUCGAGCGAACAGAUGAGGAGCUUGCUCCUCUGACGUUAGCGGCGGACGGGUGAGUAACACGUGGAUAACCUACCUAUAAGACUGGGAUAACUUCGGGAAACGGGCGCUAAUACCGGAUAAUAUAUUGAUCCGCGUGGUUCAAUGGUGAGAGUCGGUUUUGCUGUCACUUAUAGCUGGAUCCGCGCCGCAUUAGCUAGUUGGUAAGGUAACAGCUUAACAAGGCAACGAUGCGUAGCCGACCUGAGAGGGUGGUCGGCGACCUGGGAGCUGAGACACGGCCCAGACUCCUGCGGUAGGCAGCAGUAGGGAAUCUUCCGCAACGGGCGAAAGCCUGACAGAGCAACGCCGCGUCAGUGAUGAAGGUCUUCGGAUCGUAAAACUCUGUUACUAGGGAAAAACAAAUGUGUACUUAACUGUGCCGGUCUUGACGGUACCUGAUCAAGAAGCCACGGCUAACUACGUG
This 497-nucleotide ribosomal RNA is filed under the name uncultured bacterium. RNAcentral describes it as "partial 16S ribosomal RNA". It matches the Rfam family "Bacterial small subunit ribosomal RNA", at positions 28 to 507 of the family's 1533-position model. The record is from RNAcentral.